This is a long non-coding RNA of Hydra vulgaris (swiftwater hydra), 671 nucleotides long. RefSeq lists it as uncharacterized. The record is from RefSeq and is a predicted model, not a curated record. NCBI's taxonomy places the organism in Eukaryota, Metazoa, Cnidaria, Hydrozoa, Anthoathecata, Hydridae.
GUUUAAUUUUAGAUAAUUAAAUAGGUUUUUAACUAGUUUUUUCAUAAAAUUAUUUUGAAAAUAGCUUGCAGCUGUACAAAGAAAUUUAAAAAAUAAAAUACAAGAUCUCUGAAUGUGAAUAAUAUCUACUUUCAGCUAAAGCAACUUUAGUUUUUUUGUUUACAAUUUUUAAACUUUUUGAAAAAUAUUUUUGAGCGUAGAAAUUUUUUAAUUUAAAUUUAUUCAGCAAGAUAAACCUUUUAUCUAUUUUGUAUUUUUUGCUUAUAUGAGGAUUCAAUUUUUUUUGCAGGGUUAAAAGAAAAUCUUAAUCAUUAAACUUGUGUAACCUGUUGCUAUGUAUUCCAACCAUAUUCGCGUUUCAACAAAGAAACUUACCUGUUGUAAAGAAGGGAAAAGUAAACUAAAGCAGAAAGACUUUUUCUUGGAACUCGAUAUAAAUAUUUUUUGUGUUUCGUGUUUAAAUUUUUUUUUUUAAUGUUUUCAGCUUGAGAUUGUUAAAAUCAAUAUGAAUAUAUUUAAAAUAUUUUUUACUUAAAGAUUAAAAGAAUGAAAAAUGUUUUUAAUGCAUAAAAGAUAUUUAUAUUUUCAUUUGAAUUAUAUUUUGAUAUUUUAUUUUGUGUUGAUUGAUAUUUAUUUGAUGCAUAAAAUAAAUUUAUAUUUUUUAAAUUAUA